UAAUACGGAGGAUGCGAGCGUUAUCCGGAUUCAUUGGGUUUAAAGGGUGCGUAGGCGGACUAUUAAGUCAGUGGUGAAAUCCUGCAGCUUAACUGCAGAACUGCCAUUGAUACUGAUAGCCUUGAGUUUGGUUAAGGUAGGCGGAAUGUGUAAUGUAGCGGUGAAAUGCUUAGAUAUUACACAGAACACCAAUUGCGUAGGCAGCUUACUGAGCCGACACUGACGCUGAGGCACGAAAGCGUGGGGAUCGAACAGGAUUAGAUACCCUGGUAGUCCACGCCGUAAACGAUGAUUACUCGCUGUUGGCGAUACACUGUCAGCGGCUAAGCAAAAGCAAUAAGUAAUCCACCUGGGGAGUACGGCCGCAAGGUUGAAACUCAAAUGAAUUGACGG
This 393-nucleotide ribosomal RNA is filed under the name uncultured bacterium. RNAcentral describes it as "bacterial SSU rRNA". It matches the Rfam family "Bacterial small subunit ribosomal RNA", at positions 521 to 916 of the family's 1533-position model. The record is from RNAcentral.